Molecule: non-coding RNA, 2850 nt
Organism: Odocoileus virginianus texanus
Lineage: Eukaryota; Metazoa; Chordata; Mammalia; Artiodactyla; Cervidae
Source: RefSeq, a predicted model, not a curated record
GCGGGCCCUUAUCCGCCGUAAAGCGAAGUUGUUCUUUGGCAAAUGGGGUGGGGGCAAAAUCGCGAAGUUUCGAAGCGCGGGCAACAUCCGGGCAACAUCUGGGGCCCUCGGUCUGAGGCGGCCUGUGUGACUUGACUUUUUAGGAAUUGCAGCCAUGCUGAAAUGUGUGAUGAGCGGCAGUCAGGUGAAAGUAUUUGGGAAAGCAAUCCAAGCUCUCUCACGAAUUAGUGAUGAGCUGUGGCUAGACCCCUCUGAAAAAGGUCUUGCUUUAAGAUCUGUGAAUUCUUGUCGGUCAGCAUAUGGAUGUGUCCUCUUCUCUCCUGUGUUUUUUCAACAUUAUCAAUGGUCAACCUCAGUGAAAAUGAAUGAUACUGACAUAAUAUUGAAUUUAAAUUGCAGAUUGGGAAUGAAGUCAAUUCUGCCCAUCUUUAGAUGUCUGAAUUCCCUAGAGAAAAAUGUGGAGAAGUGCAAAAUAUUUACCAGAUCUGAUAAGUGCAAAGUAGUUAUUCAGUUCUUCUGCCGACAUGGUAUUAAAAAGAUUCAUAAUGUGUGUUUUCAAGAAAGUCAGCCUUUGCAAGUUAUUUUUCAAAAGAAUAUGUGUGCUAAUACACUAGUGAUUCAGCCAAGGGUGCUUGCUGAGGCAGUUGUUCUUUUUACAUCGAGUCAAGAGGAAGUUACUCUUGCUGUUACUCCGCUGAAGGUUUGCAUUAAGAGUUCUAAUGAGGAAUCAAUGGACCUGACCAAUUCUGUAUACAGUGAGAUGUUUGUUGGUCCAGAUGAGUUUGACUUCUUUCAAGUUGGAAUUGACACUGAAAUAACAUUUUGCUUCAAAGAACUGAAGGGCGUGCUGAUAUUUUCAGAAGCUAUACAUGCUCCUAUAGCCAUUCAUUUUGACUUUCCUGGGAAACCCAUGGCUUUAAGUAUUGAUGAUAUGUUAUUGGAAGCCAACUUUAUUUUGGCUACAUUAGCUGACGAGCCAAGUAGAGCAUCUUCUCCACAAACACUGUGUCUUUCACAAAAACAAAAAAGGUCAGAGCCGAUACAUUCAAAUUCAAAGGCUGGUAAAAAUGCAGCCAGCAAGGUCCCAGAGUAUAUCUCAAGAAAAGUAGAACUGAAAAGGCUGUAUUCUGAUGAGACUCCCAUGAACACCUCUACACUGGAAAAUUGUGGCAGCCCUUUAAUGAAAAGAGCGAACAAAGACCUUACUGAAGUACCCGAAAGCAGUGGAGAUAUUAGUGAAGUCCCAGAAAGCAGUGUCAGCGACACAGAAGAAGUGCCAGGGUCUCCAUGUCUCAGGAAGUUAAGAGAAGACACUGGAACAUAAUACCUCGACUAAAAGGAACGAGAUCACCAGUGCUGCCUGCAUAGGACGUCAAUGAGAAAGUUCUUUGAGUGUCUUUUGCUAUGCUGCCUGUGAGAGACUCGCUGCCAUUGGACAGUUCGUCCUCUUCUCCCAACACUCCCACCCAUGAGCUUGGUGUUCCGCCAGCUGCAGUUUUGCCCAUUUUGAUUGAACAUACUGUGCUGCUGGAAACUUUUGACUGCACUGAAACACGAGCUGCAAUCACAUGCUAGCAAACUGUCUCUGGGCUCCAGGGGAAGCAACCUCCACCUCACUGGCAGGACAGGCCAAGUCCUGCCCUGACCAAACUGCCCCAAAGAUAGUGUCUGAGGUACCUCAGGGCCGCUCUAGCACUGGGAAGCCAAAACAACAAGGAUCAAAUAAAGGAAAAUUAAAAACACUGUUUCUCCAAAAACUGUUAGCUGAACUUGACAUUUACCAAGGUCUUGGGGUUCUAAGUUUGCCUCACUCCAAUGUGACUAAUAUCGAUGUGCUAUUACAGCCAACUGAAGAAGGGCCUAUAAUCAAAUUUUCUUCCAAUUAUGGUAAUCUGCCUUACUCUGAAAGUAAAAAAAAAUGCUUCCCUCUCUGUAGGAGUCAGCAAUAGACUUUAGAUGGGUAAUAUGGAGCACUUAUAUAAUAUGCUCAUUCUAGUUAAAAGAUGGCAGUAAUCAUCCUUUUACCUUAGUUUGGACCUAAGAUUUGGCUUAAUAAGAACUAUUAAGUAGAGAUAAUCUGUACUUGCUAGGAUGCUUCUACUUUUAAAACAGGUUCAUUACCCAUUUUACCACGUUUAUGAAUUGCCAACAAUGUUUGUGUCAAACCCUAUAAGGUUGUUAAAGGCAGUGAAAUCUGAGACUGUGUUAGUAUUACUCUGUACUCUGAGCUGAGAAAAGAUAAACUAAAAAGUUGAUUCAAAAAAGUACUGAUUGUCCUAGAAAGGUCUUGACAGUUUAAAAUGAACUGAGAAGGUGUUGGAAGAAAAAAAAGCACACAUCUCAAGAGCACCAUCACAGAACAUUCCUAAGACCACCUUUAAGUCCAUUUCCUGCAAGUUAACUUUGCCUGACAAGUUCUGUAAGCACUGCAAGUUCCAUUUGAUGCACAUUAUAGGCAGCUCUGAGAAUCAGGAAGUUAUUCUGAUAAAUAAAGCAGAUGUCUAUUUGCAUUCUUCCCUAAUAACAUAUGCAAAAUCUUGUAUAUGGGACGGCACACAUGAACAAUGACUCACUUCUCCAGCACUACUUAACAAAUACAACUGUAUGUGCCAUGUGGUCUUGGUAUGAAACUGAUAUUCUAUAAGCUUGAAAUAUAUUUUCACAGUCAGGUCAAAAUACUAGGUGUUUAUCAGAGUUCAACUUGGCUGGAAAUCAAGUUCAAGCAGAAUAUCUUUCAAUGUCAGACUAAAAGGUCUCCAAUGUGUCUUCUCUUCUCAUGUGAGAAUGAAAAAUGCCCAUCUUCAACAGCUUAGUUAAGGGGAAUGGGAGGGAACCUGUUGGUGAGAGAGG